AACGAACGCUGGCGGCAUGCCUAACACAUGCAAGUCGAACGAGGCCUUCGGGGCUAGUGGCGCACGGGGGCGUAACGCGUGGGAACCUGCGCUUAGGUUCGGAAUAACUCCCCGAAAGGGGUGCUAAUAACGGAUAAUGUCUUCGGACCAAAGAUUUAUCGCCUAUGGAUGGGUCCGCGUUGGAUUAGCUAGUUGGUAGGGUAAAAGCCUACCAAGGCGACGAUCCAUAGCUGGUCUGAGAGGAUGAUCAGCAACACUGGGACUGAGACACGGCCCAGACUCCUACGGGAGGCAGCAGGUGGGAAUAAUCGACAAUGGGCGAGAGACUGAUCCAGCAAUGCCGUGUGAGUGAUGAAGGCCUGAGGGUUGUAAAGCUCUUUUACCCGGGAUGAUAAUGACAGUACCGGAAGAAUAAGCGCCGGCUAACUCCGUG
This 433-nucleotide ribosomal RNA is filed under the name uncultured bacterium. RNAcentral's name for it is "partial 16S ribosomal RNA". It matches the Rfam family "Bacterial small subunit ribosomal RNA", at positions 29 to 507 of the family's 1533-position model. The record is from RNAcentral.